UACAGAGGUCUCGAGCGUUGUUCGGAUUCAUUGGGCGUAAAGGGUGCGUAGGUGGCUAGGUAAGUCGGAUGUGAAAUCCCGGGGCUCAACCCCGGAACUGCAUUCGAUACUGCCUGGCUAGAGUACUGGAGAGGAGAUUGGAAUUUACGGUGUAGCAGUGAAAUGCGUAGAUAUCGUAAGGAAGACCAGUGGCGAAGGCGGAUCUCUGGACAGUUACUGACACUGAGGCACGAAGGCCAGGGGAGCAAACGGGG
This 254-nucleotide ribosomal RNA is filed under the name uncultured bacterium. RNAcentral's name for it is "partial 16S ribosomal RNA". It matches the Rfam family "Bacterial small subunit ribosomal RNA", at positions 524 to 777 of the family's 1533-position model. The record is from RNAcentral.